CCCUUAGAUGUUCUGGGCUGCACGCGCGCUACACUGAAGGAAUCAGCGUGGCUUUCUCCCUGACCCGAAAGGGUUGGGAAACCCGUUGAAUCUCCUUCGUGAUAGGGAUUGGGGCUUGAAAUUGUUCCCCAUGAACGAGGAAUUCCCAGUAAGCGCGAGUCAUAAGCUCGCGUUGAUUACGUCCCUGCCCUUUGUACACACCGCCCGUCGCUACUACCGAUUGAACGGUUUAGUGAGGGCCUCGGAUUGGUCUCGGCCCGCUCUUUACCGGGCGGCGCCGUUGGUCGAGAAGACGCUCGAACUUGAUCGUUUAGAGGAAGUAAAAGUCGUAACA
Molecule: ribosomal RNA, 334 nt
Filed under: uncultured eukaryote
Lineage: Eukaryota
Description: partial 18S ribosomal RNA
Rfam family: Eukaryotic small subunit ribosomal RNA
Source: RNAcentral